Long non-coding RNA from Xenia sp. Carnegie-2017, 492 nucleotides. RefSeq lists it as uncharacterized. The transcript is spliced from 2 exons. The record is from RefSeq and is a predicted model, not a curated record. NCBI's taxonomy places the organism in Eukaryota, Metazoa, Cnidaria, Anthozoa, Malacalcyonacea, Xeniidae.
ACGGUUUCGUCGCCAGUGCUGUUGAAAAAAAUAUAUGCAACUGUCGUUGUAUUUAACGUGCAAGAAGUGAAAAAGUUGAGUAACCUGUGAUGAAUACAAGAAGGCAUAUAAUCUUUCCGCCUAUUCACAAUAUUUUAGAAAUUAGAAAAAUUAGGAAGCGGGAGAAAAAACUAAGAAGAAUGCAAAAGUGGAAAUGGGGAAUAUUUCAAAACGUAUCUUGGUCGUGCAGAACUUCUCGCUGGCUGGCAGGGAAGGUAGGAUUCGAAGUUAGAUGCACCUGUUAUAUAUUUUCCCUUUGUAUGGUUUUGACAAAGCGGGUCAAUUUAUUCUUUCGCCAUUUGUUUUUAUCGUCGUGUAUUUAGUAUUGUUGUAAAUACACAACAAAGAUUGCCGAAGGUAGCGAGAAUUAACUUUGCCGUUUUUCCGGUUUAUGGGUGAUUGUUCGUAGCUAAGUAGCUAUAAUUGUUAAAACAUGGUUUGACCAUGUUUUGA